ACGUAGGGGGCAAGCGUUAUCCGGAUUUACUGGGUGUAAAGGGAGCGUAGACGGCGGUGCAAGCCAGAUGUGAAAGCCCGGGGCUCAACCCCGGGACUGCAUUUGGAACUGUAUGGCUGGAGUGUCGGAGAGGCAGGCGGAAUUCCUAGUGUAGCGGUGAAAUGCGUAGAUAUUAGGAGGAACACCAGUGGCGAAGGCGGCCUGCUGGACGAUGACUGACGUUGAGGCUCGAAAGCGUGGGGAGCAA
Molecule: ribosomal RNA, 247 nt
Filed under: uncultured bacterium
Lineage: Bacteria
Description: partial 16S ribosomal RNA
Rfam family: Bacterial small subunit ribosomal RNA
Source: RNAcentral